UCUUUUCCUUUUUUUUUUUUAAAUUUAGUCUCUGCUUUCUUUUUGUUUAUAUUUCUUUUUUAAUUUUAAAAUGGUUUAAACUAUGUUAAAUUCCAAAAUGGUGUAAAAUGGUUUUCUUUGAAUAAUCUUGAGUUCACAUAGUAUUUAAUAGGAGAAAUGCAUUAUUUAACAUGAUUAGAAAUGAUAAGUACAUACUUCUUGAUUAUAAAAAAGCAGGAAUCUGUUGUGUCCUGAUAGAGAAUAAGAACAUCCAAGUAGAACAUUAUAUUGGAUAUACAUUCAGAUCUUUAGAAAAAAUUAAGUUACAUGAACAUAUGAUUAAUAUACAAAAAAAUAGCUCUUUCACAGAGGGCAAACAUAUGUGGUACAGAAGUUAAAUGGCAAAAUGCAAGAUUGUUAAAGACAGUGGAAGAUCCUAAGCAAGGAAGAAUUGCCAAAAAUCUUAUAAUUUAUAAAAAAAAAGAAAAAGGUAUAAAUAUUAUUAAUAAAAUAGAUUGCUAUACAGUAAGUAUGGCUUGAAAACAGAUAAAACACAUAAAUGUAGUUUAGUUAAACAAAAACAACAUUGUUUUAGUUAUGAUACAAACAUAC
Molecule: long non-coding RNA, 591 nt
Filed under: Androctonus crassicauda
Lineage: Eukaryota; Metazoa; Arthropoda; Arachnida; Scorpiones; Buthidae
Source: RNAcentral